UUGAUCCUGGCACAGAAUGAACGCGGGAGGCAUGCCUUACACAUGCAAGUCGAACGGCAGCACGGGAGCAAUCCUGGUGGCGAGUGGCGAACGGGUGAGUAAUACAUCGGAACGUGCCCAAUCGUGGGGGAUAACGCAGCGAAAGCUGUGCUAAUACCGCAUAAGAUCUACGGAUGAAAGCAGGGGAUCGCAAGACCUUGCGCGAAUGGAGCGGCCGAUGGCAGAUUAGGUAGUUGGUGAGGUAAAGGCUCACCAAGCCUUCGAUCUGUAGCUGGUCUGAGAGGACGACCAGCCACACUGGGACUGAGACACGGCCCAGACUCCUACGGGAGGCAGCAGUGGGGAAUUUUGGACAAUGGGCGAAAGCCUGAUCCAGCCAUGCCGCGUGCAGGAUGAAGGCCUUCGGGUUGUAAACUGCUUUUGUACGGAACGAAGCGGCCUUUUCUAAUAAAGAGGGCUAAUGANGGGUACCGUAAGAAAUAAGCACCGGCUAACUAC
This 498-nucleotide ribosomal RNA is filed under the name uncultured bacterium. RNAcentral describes it as "bacterial SSU rRNA". It matches the Rfam family "Bacterial small subunit ribosomal RNA", at positions 13 to 504 of the family's 1533-position model. The record is from RNAcentral.